RNAcentral lists this long non-coding RNA (222 nucleotides) under Nicotiana benthamiana. Its description in RNAcentral is "long non-coding RNA (NBEN_LNC021005)". The record is from RNAcentral. Lineage: Eukaryota; Viridiplantae; Streptophyta; Magnoliopsida; Solanales; Solanaceae.
ACGGUCAUUAGGUUAGUCGAUUAACUAAAUCGGAUAGUCGACUAACAUGCCUUGCGGAAAAGGUCCAGUUUAAUAGAAUAUAUUGGUUAAUCGAUUAGUCGACUAAGAAUAUUAAUUUACCUCAUCAUAUUCACUAUUCAUAAAAUAGUUGAUGCACCUUUGGGUAUAUCCUUAAGUUCUAGCUAUAGUGAAAAUUAAUUUAUCCACUAUUUUUAAUUAUAG